AUUAAGAUGUCUGAUAAAAGUAAUAAACUGUAAAUUUAUUUAUGAAUAAAAAUUCUCUUAAUA
Molecule: transfer RNA, 63 nt
Filed under: Krisna concava
Lineage: Eukaryota; Metazoa; Arthropoda; Insecta; Hemiptera; Cicadellidae
Description: tRNA-Tyr
Source: RNAcentral